UACGGGGGGGCAAGCGUUGUUCGGAAUUACUGGGCGUAAAGGGCUCGUAGGUGGCCAACUAAGUCAUACGUGAAAUCCCUCAGCUUAACUGGGGAACUGCGUCUGAUACUGGAUGGCUUGAGAUUGGGAGAGGGAUGCGGAAUUCCAGGUGUAGCGGUGAAAUGCGUAGAUAUCUGGAGGAACACCGGUGGCGAAGGCGGCAUCCUGGACCAACGCUGGCACUGAGGAGCGAAAGCCAGGGGAGCAAACGGG
This 252-nucleotide ribosomal RNA is filed under the name uncultured bacterium. RNAcentral describes it as "partial 16S ribosomal RNA". It matches the Rfam family "Bacterial small subunit ribosomal RNA", at positions 524 to 776 of the family's 1533-position model. The record is from RNAcentral.